AUUGAACGCUGGCGGCAGGCCUAACACAUGCAAGUCGAACGAGUGGCGGACGGGUGAGUAAUGUUUGGGAAUCUGCCUUAUGGCGGGGGAUAACUACGUGAAACUGUAGAUAAUACCGCAUACCCUAAGAUGUGCCCAGGUGGGAGUAGGUAGUUGGUGGGGUAACGUCUCACCAAGGCGACGCUCGCUAGCUGGUCUGAGAGGAUGACCAGCCACACUGGGACGGAGACACGGCCCAGACUCCUACGGGAGGCAGCAGUGGGGAAUAUUGCGCAAUGGGCGCAAGACUGACGCAGCCAUGCCGCGUGAAUGAAGAAGGCCUUCGGGUUGUAAAGUUCUUUCGGUAGGGAGGCGUUACCUACAGAAGAAGCACCGGCUAACUCCGUGCCAGCCGCCGCGGUAAUUC
This 406-nucleotide ribosomal RNA is filed under the name uncultured bacterium. RNAcentral's name for it is "partial 16S ribosomal RNA". It matches the Rfam family "Bacterial small subunit ribosomal RNA", at positions 30 to 526 of the family's 1533-position model. The record is from RNAcentral.